UUUGUAUGGAGACUAGAAUUGAUUUCCAAUAGUUUAAGUAAAUUUUUAGAGAAAUUCAAUAGUUCAAAAAAGAGAUAUUGGCAUAGGAAGUUUAAUAUUUAUAUUAGAAUAUGAAGUUGGCCAACAUCAAAGCAAAUUUUAGGAUUUUUCUUCUAUUUGGUAAGUAGGAUUAUCUUAAAAUUUUUUGUACUUGUUUUAAUAAAGAGAUUGAAAGGUGUGUAAAUUUUUAAGUAAGCUCAAUAGUUUAAUCAAUAUAUAUUCGAUAUCUAAUCUACCUUAGAAUUGAUUUGAGUUGAAGAAGUUUUGAUUAAGAUUUGAUUUAGGAUUUAGGAUUUAGGAUUUAAGCAUGUAAAUAGAAGUAAGAAUAAAGCCUUUUUUACUCUUAUUAAUGCAAAAUUAGCCAUUAGUCUUAUUUCAAGACUUUUUAGUCUUCUGGUCUUUAACAAUUGCAAUUAUGGUUCAAUAUAUUAACAUCUUUAAGUAAUUUUUUAGACUUUUUAAGUAAAAAA
Molecule: long non-coding RNA, 509 nt
Filed under: Physcomitrium patens
Lineage: Eukaryota; Viridiplantae; Streptophyta; Bryopsida; Funariales; Funariaceae
Description: long non-coding RNA (PPAT_LNC007249)
Source: RNAcentral